UACGUAGGGGGCUAGCGUUGUCCGGAUUUAUUGGGCGUAAAGAGCGUGUAGGCGGCCAGGUAGGUCCGUUGUGAAAACUCGAGGCUCAACCUCGAGACGUCGGCGGAAACCCUCUGGCUAGAGUCCGGAAGAGGAGAGUGGAAUUCCUGGUGUAGCGGUGAAAUGCGCAGAUAUCAGGAAGAACACCCGUGGCGAAGGCGGCUCUCUGGGACGGUACUGACGCUGAGACGCGAAAGCGUGGGGAUCAAACAGG
RNAcentral lists this ribosomal RNA (253 nucleotides) under uncultured bacterium. Its description in RNAcentral is "partial 16S ribosomal RNA". It matches the Rfam family "Bacterial small subunit ribosomal RNA", at positions 524 to 776 of the family's 1533-position model. The record is from RNAcentral.